UACGGAGGGUGCAAGCGUUAUCCGGAUUCACUGGGUUUAAAGGGUGCGUAGGUGGCGCCGUAAGUGGGGUGUGAAAUUUCGGAGCUUAACUCCGAAACUGCAUUCCAUACUGCGGUGCUUGAGGACUGGAGAGGAGACUGGAAUUUACGGUGUAGCAGUGAAAUGCGUAGAGAUCGUAAGGAAGACCAGUGGCGAAGGCGGGUCUCUGGACAGUUCCUGACACUGAGGCACGAAGGCCAGGGGAGCAAACGGG
RNAcentral lists this ribosomal RNA (253 nucleotides) under uncultured bacterium. RNAcentral describes it as "partial 16S ribosomal RNA". It matches the Rfam family "Bacterial small subunit ribosomal RNA", at positions 524 to 776 of the family's 1533-position model. The record is from RNAcentral.